CCCUGACAGUCGCAUGGUGCGGCUGACUAACCCUAGACAGGAGAUCAACAUG
The submitters of this non-coding RNA (52 nucleotides) gave its source as unclassified sequences. The record is from Rfam.